UUUUCCAUUUGCUUGGUAGAUCUUCCUCCAUCCUUUUAUUUUGAGCCUAUGUGUGUCUCUGCAUGUGAGAUGGGUUUCCUGAAUACAACACACUGAUGGGUCUUGACUCUUUAUCCAACUUGCCAGUCUGUGUCUUUUAAUUGGAGCAUUUAGUCCAUUUACAUUUAAAGUUAAUAUUGUUAUGUGUGAAUUUGAUCCUGUCAUUAUGAUGUUAGCUGGUUAUUUUGCUCGUUAGUUGAUGCAGUUUCUUCCUAGUCUCGAUGGUCUUUACAUUUUGGCAUGAUUUUGCAGCGGCUGGUACCAGUUGUUCCUUUCCAUGUUUAGCACUUCCUUCAGGAGCUCUUUUAGGGCAGGCCUGGUGGUGACAAAAUCUCUCAGCAUUUCUUGUCUGUAAGGUAUUUUAUUUCUCCUUCACUUACGAAGCUUAGCUUGGCUGGAUAUGAAAUUCUGGGUUGAAAAUUCUUUUCUUUAAGAAUGUUGAAUAUUGGCCCCCACUCUCUUCUGGCUUGUAGAGUUUCUGCCGAGAGAUCAGCUGUUAGUCUGAUGGGCUUCCCUUUGUGGGUAACCCGACCUUUCUCUCUGGCUGCCCUUAACAUCUUUUCCUUCAUUUCAACUUUGGUGAAUCUGACAAUUAUGUGUCUUGGAGUUGCUUUUCUUGAGAAGUAUCUUCGCGGCAUUCUCUGUAUUUCCUGAAUCUGAAUGUUGGCCUGCCUUGCUAGAUUGGGGAAGUUCUCCUGGAUAAUAUCUUUUAGUGUUUUCUAACUUGGUUCCAUUCUCCCUGUCACUUUCAGGUACACCAAUUAGACGUAGAUUUGGUCUUUUCACAUAGUCCCAUAUUUCUUGGAGGCUUUGUUCGUUUCUUUCUAUUCUUUUUUCUCUAAACUUCCCUUCUCGCUUCAUUUCAUUCAUUUCAUCUUCCAUCGCUGAUACCCUUUCUUCCAGUUGAUCGCAUCGGCUCCUGAGGCUUCUGCAUUCUUCACGUAGUUCUCGAGCCUUGGCUUUCAGCUCCAUCAGCUCCUUUAAGCACUUCUCUGUAUUGGUUAUUCUAGUUAUACAUUCGUCUAAAUUUUUUUCAAAGUUUGUGACUUCUUUGCCUUUGGCUUGAAUUUCCUCCUGUAGCUCGUAGUUUGAUCGUCUGAAGCCUUCUUCUCUCAACUCGUCAAAGUCAUUCUCCAUCCAGCUUUGUUCCAUUGCUGGUGAGGAACUGUGAUCCUUUGGAGGAGGAGAGGUGCUCUGCUUUUUAGAGUUUCCGGUUCUUCUGUUCUGUUUUUUCCCCAUCUUUGUGGUUUUAUCUACUUUUAGUCUUUGAUGAUGGUGAUGUGCAGAUGGGUUUUUGGUGUGCAUGUCCUUUCUGUUUGUUAGUUUUCCUUCUAACAGACAGGACCCUCAGCUGCAGGUCUGUUGGAGUUUGCUAGAGAUCCACUCCAGACUCUGUUUGCCUGGGUAUCAGCAGCGGUGUCUGCAGAACAGUGGUUUUUCGUGAACCGCAAAUGCUGCUGUCUAAUCGUUCCUCUGCAAGUUUUGUCUCAGAGGAGUACCCGGCCAUGUGGGGAGGCAGUCUGCCCGUUCUCAGAUCUCCAGCUGAGUGCUGGAAGAACCACUGCUCUCUUCAAAGCUGUCAGACAGGGACAUUUAAGUCUGCAGAGGUUACUGCUGUCUUUUUGUUUGUCUGUGCCCUGCCCCCAGAGGUGGAGCCUACAGAGGCAGUCAGGCCUCCUUGAGCUGUGGUAGGCUCCACCCAGUUGGAGCUUCCCGGCUGCUUUGUUUACCUAAGCAAGCCUGGGCAAUGGCGGGCGCCCCUCCCCCAGCCUCGCUGCUGCCUUGCAGUUUGAUCUCAGACUGCUGUGCUAGCAAUCAGCGAGACUCCGUGGGCCUAGGACCCUCCAAGCCAGGUGCAGGAUAUAAUCUCCUGGUGCGAGGUUUUUUAAGCCCGUUGGAAAAGCGCAGUAUUCGGGUGGGAGUGACCCAAUUUUCCAGGUGCCGUCUGUCACCCCUUUCUUUGACUAGGAAAGGGAACUCCCUGACCCCUUGUGCUUCCCGAGUGAGGCAAUGCCUCGCCCUGCUUCGGCUCACGCACGGUGCGCUGCACCCACUGACCUGGGCCCACUGUCUGGCACUCCGUAGUGAGAUGAACCUGGUACCUCAGAUGGAAAUGCAGAAAUCACCUGUGUUCUGCGUCACUCACGCUGGGAGCUGUAGACCGGAGCUGUUCCUAUUUGGCCAUCUUGGCUCCUCCCCCCCCCCGUAUUGUCUUGAUAAACAUCUUAAACAGCAGAAAACAGGGUUGAGACCAGAGAACUGGUCUGACCACAGAUUUACCAGGGCGGAGUUUUUCCCCACCCUAAUAAGCCUGAGGGUACUGCAGGAGACCAGGGAAUACCUCAAUCCUUAUCUCAACCACAUAAGAGAGAAACUCCCAGAGCAGCUGUUUAUAGACCUCCCCCCAGGAAUGCAUUCCUUUCCCAGGGUGUUAAUA
Molecule: long non-coding RNA, 2476 nt
Filed under: Homo sapiens (human)
Lineage: Eukaryota; Metazoa; Chordata; Mammalia; Primates; Hominidae
Description: HSALNT0343258
Source: RNAcentral